AAUGGGUCAGCGACUUAUAUUCUGUAGCAAGGUUAACCGAAUAGGGGAGCCGAAGGGAAACCGAGUCUUAACUGGGCGUUAAGUUGCAGGGUAUAGACCCGAAACCCGGUGAUCUAGCCAUGGGCAGGUUGAAGGUUGGGUAACACUAACUGGAGGACCGAACCGACUAAUGUUGAAAAAUUAGCGGAUGACUUGUGGCUGGGGGUGAAAGGCCAAUCAAACCGGGAGAUAGCUGGUUCUCCCCGAAAGCUAUUUAGGUAGCGCCUCGUGAAUUCAUCUCCGGGGGUAGAGCACUGUUUCGGCAAGGGGGUCAUCCCGACUUACCAACCCGAUGCAAACUGCGAAUACCGGAGAAUGUUAUCACGGGAGACACACGGCGGGUGCUAACGUCCGUCGUGAAGAGGGAAACAACCCAGACCGCCAGCUAAGGUCCCAAAGUCAUGGUUAAGUGGGAAACGAUGUGGGAAGGCCCAGACAGCCAGGAUGUUGGCUUAGAAGCAGCCAUCAUUUAAAGAAAGCGUAAUAGCUCACUGGUCGAGUCGGCCUGCGCGGAAG
RNAcentral lists this ribosomal RNA (555 nucleotides) under Escherichia coli. RNAcentral describes it as "partial 23S ribosomal RNA". It matches the Rfam family "Bacterial large subunit ribosomal RNA", at positions 614 to 1169 of the family's 2925-position model. The record is from RNAcentral. Lineage: Bacteria; Pseudomonadati; Pseudomonadota; Gammaproteobacteria; Enterobacterales; Enterobacteriaceae.